AGGUUAAGCAGUAAAUGUGGAGCCGUAGCGAAAGCGAGUCUGAAUAGGGCGUUUAGUAUUUGGUCGUAGACCCGAAACCAGGUGAUCUACCCUUGGUCAGGUUGAAGUUCAGGUAACACUGAAUGGAGGACCGAACCGACUUACGUUGAAAAGUGAGCGGAUGAACUGAGGGUAGCGGAGAAAUUCCAAUCGAACCUGGAGAUAGCUGGUUCUCUCCGAAAUAGCUUUAGGGCUAGCCUCAAGUGAUGAUUAUUGGAGGUAGAGCACUGUUUGGACGAGGGGCCCCUCUCGGGUUACCGAAUUCAGACAAACUCCGAAUGCCAAUUAAUUUAACUUGGGAGUCAGAACAUGGGUGAUAAGGUCCGUGUUCGAAAGGGAAACAGCCCAGACCACCAGCUAAGGUCCCAAAAUAUAUGUUAAGUGGAAAAGGAUGUGGCGUUGCCCAGACAACUAGGAUGUUGGCUUAGAAGCAGCCAUCAUUUAAAGAGUGCGUAAUAGCUCACUAGUCGAGUGACACUGCGCCGAAAAUGUACCGGGGCUAAACAUAUUACCGAAGCUGUGGAUUGUCCUUUGGACAAUGGUAGGAGAGCGUUCUAAGGGCGUUGAAGCAUGAUCGUAAGGACAUGUGGAGCGCUUAGAAGUGAGAAUGCCGGUGUGAGUAGCGAAAGACGGGUGAGAAUCCCGUCCACCGAUUGACUAAGGUUUCCAGAGGAAGGCUCGUCCGCUCUGGGUUAGUCGGGUCCUAAGCUGAGGCCGACAGGCGUAGGCGAUGGAUAACAGGUUGAUAUUCCUGUACCACCUAUAAUCGUUUUAAUCGAUGGGGGGACGCAGUAGGAUAGGCGAAGCGUGCGAUUGGAUUGCACGUCUAAGCAGUAAGGCUGAGUAUUAGGCAAAUCCGGUACUCGUUAAGGCUGAGCUGUGAUGGGGAGAAGACAUUGUGUCUUCGAGUCGUUGAUUUCACACUGCCGAGAAAAGCCUCUAGAUAGAAAAUAGGUGCCCGUACCGCAAACCGACACAGGUAGUCAAGAUGAGAAUUCUAAGGUGAGCGAGCGAACUCUCGUUAAGGAACUCGGCAAAAUGACCCCGUAACUUCGGGAGAAGGGGUGCUCUUUAGGGUUAACGCCCAGAAGAGCCGCAGUGAAUAGGCCCAAGCGACUGUUUAUCAAAAACACAGGUCUCUGCUAAACCGUAAGGUGAUGUAUAGGGGCUGACGCCUGCCCGGUGCUGGAAGGUUAAGAGGAGUGGUUAGCUUCUGCGAAGCUACGAAUCGAAGCCCCAGUAAACGGCGGCCGUAACUAUAACGGUCCUAAGGUAGCGAAAUUCCUUGUCGGGUAAGUUCCGACCCGCACGAAAGGCGUAACGAUUUGGGCACUGUCUCAACGAGAGACUCGGUGAAAUCAUAGUACCUGUGAAGAUGCAGGUUACCCGCGACAGGACGGAAAGACCCCGUGGAGCUUUACUGUAGCCUGAUAUUGAAAUUCGGCACAGCUUGUACAGGAUAGGUAGGAGCCUUUGAAACGUGAGCGCUAGCUUACGUGGAGGCGCUGGUGGGAUACUACCCUAGCUGUGUUGGCUUUCUAACCCGCACCACUUAUCGUGGUGGGAGACAGUGUCAGGCGGGCAGUUUGACUGGGGCGGUCGCCUCCUAAAAGGUAACGGAGGCGCUCAAAGGUUCCCUCAGAAUGGUUGGAAAUCAUUCAUAGAGUGUAAAGGCAUAAGGGAGCUUGACUGCGAGACCUACAAGUCGAG
RNAcentral lists this ribosomal RNA (1749 nucleotides) under Staphylococcus aureus. RNAcentral's name for it is "partial 23S ribosomal RNA". It matches the Rfam family "Bacterial large subunit ribosomal RNA", at positions 643 to 2393 of the family's 2925-position model. Lineage: Bacteria; Bacillati; Bacillota; Bacilli; Caryophanales; Staphylococcaceae. The record is from RNAcentral.